CGUGUCUAUAGAAGGGUGAAGGAGAGAGUCCAGGGAAGGGUAAAUCAAGAAACCAGAAGAUCUGAGGAGGCAGAUUGGGAUCUGGCAGGAGAGGGUUCUGCUGCAUGUUUUGGUCAUGACUUAGGGAAGGCACAGUCACCGAGUGAUGGAUCUGCACCAAGACUUGCCUCGGUCUUUUCUGCAUAAGAACGUGCGGAAGAAUGAUGGUUGGUGCAAGGGGAAGCCAUGGAAAGCCAUGAGUGCCUGUUCAGAAAUCCAGUGGGAAAGAUGAUUCAUGCCAUGUAGUGACACAAGGGCACAAGUGCUGCACUUCAGUCGCUCCACUGAAUUCUAUGGGAUUUUCUGUCUGCUGGAUCACUGCUCAUGUCAGGAAGACAGCGAUAGAGAAGAUGACUCUUACUAAAGCUUCAGGUAGAUGCUGUGCAUCAGACUGGUGAGCAAGAUUAAAUCUCUGAAGGCUCUGGCUGUCUCAAUCUCCAUUGAAGUUGCUGGGAUCUGAAGACACAACUUUCUUAUUACGGUGCUGUUUGCUAUAAGUGUUAAUAUGGUCAAAGGAAGACUACCCACCAAAGACUGUAAGGAACAGUAGCAAAACCUUUUUAUUUUUUACAAACGCUAAUGCUACUUGGGGACCAUUUCAUUCCCCAAGUGUACAUCUGUUUGAGCAAAGGAUUCCCAGAAACAAGCAACAAGAAUAUUGAGACCAUUGCUCAAUAACCACAGCUUUUAUUUGGCAAUAGUUAUUGAGACCUGCAAGGGUUUUCCUGGGCUCAAAACUUGUCUGUUUCUUGUAGCAAUGUUUUCUGUUGGGUCAUAUGGAUUAUUUCAUGUUAUUAGAGCUGAAUACUAGUUGUCUACCAUUUCAGAUUUGCUAGCUUUUUAUCUUGUAGCAAUGUAUUUGUAUGCUGUAAUCUAUAGCAAAAUGCCAUUGUAAUUUUAAUGUCAGGUGUACCCACUGUGAGUCUCAGGUUUGUAUCGCUAUCCAGGGAAUGUGUCUGAGCUCUUUCCUUUUUAAGCCUAGUUGAAGCAGUGCAUCCAGAUGCAUUACUUUCAAAUCUUAUUCUCAAAUGUUUUAGUGGAAAUGAUGUGUGAUCAUUUUAAUCUGGCCUUUAUGUGUUUGACCGGAACUCAGCCUACAUAUUGCCGUGAGACAAGGGAAAUUGGAUGCUUUUACUUUUACAGCCAAAGUAUUCAUAUCCUUCCAGAAAAAAAGAACUAAUCUUCUGAAGCAGCAGGUAAGUAAAAGAUUUGUGGAGAAAUGGGAAAGGACAUUUAAUAUAUUUAAUCUUAUUAUACAUUUUUCUACAUUAAAAGUCAACAGGCUGCAAAUAUAUUUUGCUACAAAGCUUUUUGUAGGAAAUAUCUCUAUAAGAAAAUACAUCUCAUUAAACAUUUCCUGUAAAUAAAUUAUCCCACAUAACUAUGUUUUGUAAGAGGAGAAGGGAGAGGGUUAGGCUAGUGAUAAGAAGAGCCAAAAAUUGCUGAGCCCAUUUCUGCAACCCCACUGCUCCAUUUGGGUUACAUUUUCUUGUACACAUAGUUGAAAUGAAGGCAACAGAGCUCCUCUGUUGAGCAUGUGCUGUCAGUGUAAAUAACACAGACAGUGUUAUUUAAAAGUACAGUUCCUGUACUUUUUUAAUAUCUUGAAAUUAUGCUAUUUCUGAACCUUAUUCCUGUUUUAGGUACACAAGAACUCCUUUGAAAUAACCAAAGUGGAGCUGGUAGGACUGAGUUUGAAGUCUGACUCAGACUGUUAAAAAACAGAAGAGCCCACCCCAGAGCAGUUCCUUAUGGCAAUUAAAAAAUAACUCCAGUAAGGUAAGAGAUAUUGUGAAUUACUCUUAAUUUGCUUUCCUAAGAGUCUAAGGGCAAUGUAUUCUUAUUAGAAAAUCUGAGCCUCAGUGGAUGCAUAAGGUGUAACCUUAAAGCAACCACUGGUAGACAUGUCUCAGUGGAAAAAAGUGAUUUAGGUAUAGGAUGACGUGGUCUCGAAACUACGUAUUGGUGUAUAUAUGUUCAGAACUGAUGAAACAGAAAAGUCUUGUGUGUUACAAAAUGUGAAAAUGAGCAAUUACAAAUGGGUAAUCACAGAUUAGCAGUAGGUCAGUUAUAAAAUCAGACUUCUUAAAAGAAAUAUCAUACUCUUUAUCAACAUCUAUACAAAGGAAUUACUUGUGAACAAGUAAAAUGACAAAAGUUUAAAAAGAACUGUGAGAAAAAAAGGAUAGUCUCCAUGCUUCGACUUCUAACUGCUACACAAACAACAUAGGGUUGUUUCAAUAGUCCAUGUACUUCCAGAAUUCCUGACAGAAAAAUCCAGAGAAGAUCCCUUUAGAAGAGAUCUAGUUCAUAUUAGAUACAUGCCAGAAACUGUUAUGCUGCAUCAUCACAUGAUGCUUAAUAAGUCUUUUGUGGCUGUACCAUAUUUUCUUGCAUUGUUUUCUGCAGGAGAGGAAGUGCUCACAAGAGCCAACUCUUUUCUUCUCUUCGCUACCUCUAAAAAACAAAUCCAUUUACACUUCUGCAGAAUGCAAUCAGAUGUAGCACUAAUAGCAAACUGUAGCCCAUUGCUACUAUUGAAAAGUAAAACUUUUAGUUGAUAGCAGUACAGUCUAAAUUCCCCAACAAGUGCCUACAUCUUCUGUUAUAACAGUAACAGUGGCACAAUUUCAUAUCUCUUAAUGUUAGAUAUUCAGCACUCCGCUGUCUCUUCGGAAAUGUCUAUAAUGCAGGUAUGUUUAGGAAAAGAAAGUAUAUUUAGGUCUAAUGAGCAACUGCCUGUAUAUAAUUCUGGAUUCAGCAUGCAUGUAUUUGUUUCAUCUGCUCAAUCCAAUGUACACUAGCAGUAAACUGAGACAAAUACAAGCGAUUAAGUGCCCUACUAUGACAUUGAACUACAUAAAGCAUUUCAGUUCGCCUAAAUAUAGGAAAGAAAACCCUGUUUAAAUGACUCUGAUUAGAGAAACUGCUUGCUGUCUUGAAAUCAUGAGAUGGCAAAUUUUCACCUUUUUGUGAGGGCCUACAAAAUUUAGGAUUCUUGUAGCAGUCCUGCAAGCAUGCUUUCUUUGCUGAAGUGUCAGCCCUGUAUGACAAGCGUAUGGAGAUUCACAGUAACUGUACUUCUAUCCCUCGCACCUGCAAUGAAUAAUAUUUUAGUCACUGAUAAUGUGUUGACAGACAAGUCUUCCUGGAAUGCGCUGCUUCCUAUAGGAGUACAAUGUAUACAAUUUAUUUAGCAGGCACAGCCAUUGUGGAAAGCCACUGUAGCCCUUAUACUGGCCCCUGAAACAUCAUGGGACAACACAGCAAGGUAAAUGGCAUUAAUUUCCACUGUACUUAUUUGCAUACUAGCAUUUCCCACAGACUGUAGGAGUUAUUAGUGGGAAAUCUCUGGCUGCUCUGGUGUUUUCCACCAGCUCAAAAAGAAAUGCAUUUGAUGUGACUUUUCUCUACUCCUACCUUGUUACUUUAGCCAUUCCUCUUUCACAUGCAGUCCUCAUUUCCCAGCAUGUUGUAACACAUUAAAUACAGAAAACCAGUCACUUAAUACUUAGUACUAUCUACCCUUCAGAUUUUCUGACACACGUGAAGUCUUGAUUUAGAAGAAGAGGUUGCAUCUUUCCAUACUUUACAAGACAGCCCUUUGGCACAGUCACAUCGUUGGAAAAUCUCCAGUCCAUGGGAGCCUUUCUUGCGCUGCUUGGUGCACACCUCCCCCUGAUGCAAUACAGGCUUGCAAAUUUUGGUCCAGAAAUGGCGAGCACAGCAGUGUCCCUCAAUACAGUCUGAUGACCGCAGGCAGGGAUCACCUUCAUGUCCUAAAAAGAGCAAUCAAACUGUUUUUACCUCAGGGGAAAAUAGAAAAAGACAAAUUCAGAGUAGACUGAUGCAAAUGAAGCUCAGAAAAAGGAGAGAUGAUAUUUCCAUCUGUGGCUUUUUGAGGUACAUAAAGAGACAAGAAAAGAGAUGAAUUAGGGAGGUUCAGAAAAGUAACUGAUAAGAACUGUCACAAGACUUAGUAAGGAGAAAUUCAGCUACAGGUUUGUAGACAAAAUGAUAAAUGCAUAAAGACAUUACUCUUACAAGAGGAGGAUGUGGACAAUCUUGUAUAACUGAAAACUGAAAUUUCAAUCCCCUCUGAUGUGGGGAAGAAAGCAGAUGCUAUUCCAAUCGGGGGAAACUGGUGGUCAAUAUUACCUUGCUUUCUGAACUGUGCUCUGAAUUCUCUUAAUAGAGAUUCACAACCUAUGAACUUACUGUGUAUUCCUGGUGUGUGCUGCUGUAUUUUAACAGCAUAAUGUUAUUCAUAGCAGAACGAUGAAGUGCAAAUGUGAUCUUACCUUUAAUGUGCGACAGCUUGGACUGUGCCCUCCCUAAGUUUUGCCAUCCCAGAUCCUUGCUAGUAUAAUGACUGUUCUUCUUGUUGCGUGGCCCGUCUAGUGCAGGGAUGUGAGGCGUGAGGAUGUUUUCAGUUACUGGUACACAAAUACCUGUGAGGAAAAGUCAGUCAGUUAUAGAUUUCAACAAGAGGAGAAGAAGCUGAGGAACAUACUUGGACUAGAAUCAGCACUGAGACCAUUAAAGUGAGGGGGGUGCUGGGCUCAUCUUUGGCGACUCUCAGCUCUAAGCACAGCUCUGUCGCUGAUCCCUAGCCCCUGUCUUCACUACAGCUGCACUUCACUCUAUCACACAGUCUUGCAGUCUGACCACCUGGAGACUGUCUUGGAGACAUCUCUCCAGGUCUCAAGAGAAGAGUAUGGGAAUGCAAGCAGUACAGUUACAACAGAAACACCAAGAGGGAGUAGCUCAGGGAUUCACUGGGUCUAUUUUGCUUCCUUAAGAAUAUGGGCUCUUUGCAGAUUUCCAGAGAAUUGAACAAUGCUGAACGUAGUGUUGGAAAAAUGCUGUGAUUUCAGUCUGUGGCUUCAUCAUUUGGGGGUGUUUCUCCACAACAAAAGAGAAAAAAGUCUAGUAGUACAGAAGCCUCAAUCAUAAAAAUACUAUUAAAGAAAGUGGAGAAAAGUUGUAAAGAUACAUUAAAAAACAAUUACUUGCAGUGCAAGUAAUUAUGCAAGUUAAUGGAGUAGAAGAAAUGAUAACUAUGGCUUCAGGUAUGAGUGUGCUUCAAGGAGAGGAGGGAGGCGAAGAGGCAGGGGAGACUAAACAGCUUCUAGCAUGGCAGAGCUCUUGGAUUUUAGCUCACAAUGUACUGUUGGAGCUGAUUCUCUUUUCCCUCCUCUUCUCUCUUCCCCCCUCUUUCCAAGCCUAGGACUAUCCAGUUCUACAUUAAUAUGACAACCAUGAAUCCAGUCACUCUAAUUUUACUCUCACAUGGCCCAUGUUUCUACUUUGCUAGUUCAGCACCCAGCUUCCCUUGUCCAACAACACAAUGGAUAGAUAGCUUUUAUACAGACUGAUUAGACUGGUUUCUUAUGCAGUUUUGAAAAUCAGAUCUUAGAUUUUUUUUUUUAGAAACAGAAGAAAAAGAUCAUUCAACAACUUUUCUAAGCCAAAGGAAAAGGGGGAGAACAACUGGAGCUGAUGUUAUUUUCAAUAUCUGAAGGGAUUUUAUCUUGGUUUAGAAAAGGAACUGCAGUCACACAGGAAAAAUACCUCUGCUGAGAAAACUUCAAAAUCUAUUUUCAGUAGAUGCUAUCAAAAUGCUGAUUUUUUUGGAGGGAAAACAAGACAUGAAUGACAUACCGUUGUUGCAGCGAUUCCCAGGGCAGCACAUGCCAUCUCUGUGGCACCUUUUCUUCUUCCUCCGGCACAACAUGCACGCAGAAGAUGCUUGAUGAGGACUGUGACAGUACCGCCCAACUUCACAUUCCUUGUCAUUGGUGCAAGGAUAGACCUGGAGGGUAAAUGAAAAAGUUUGCAAUGAUGCAGUGUGUAAGACAUGCACAUAGUCCAUUAAAAACAAAACAAGAAAACAGUUGAAGAAACAUACACGUGAGUUACCGUUCACUAAGCUAGGAGAUGCAGUUAUCUUUGCAGCAGCCUUGGCCUUGGGCUUUAGCUGCUGGUGGAGCUGGAUCACUGCCUCAAGAAUGACAAAACUACAACCCGCUCCUUUGGUGGUUUCAUCUUUUCUUGCCUUAAAUAUAUGCUAUCACAACAGAACUAAUAUUUUUGUAGGUUUCAAGAUACUCAGGCCUCUCAUUCAUAGACAAGAGUUUAAAAUUCUACAAUGAAGAGAAACAGAGCCAGAAGACUCCUCUCAGUCAUGGAAAACACACUCUGCAACAGGUAACAUUUGCAUUUAGGUCAGAACUCCAAGGAGGCAUUUUUCUUUGACACAUGCCAGAUAGAAUAAGAGAUUCACCAUUCUCACAGUGAACACAGAAUCAUAAAGGUUGGUAAAGACCAAUCAUCAACCCAUCACCACCAUGCCGCUAAACCAUGUCCCUCAGUGCCACAUCUCCAUGUUUCUUGUAAACCUUCCAGGGACGGUGACUCCACCACCUCUCUGGGCAGCUUUCUGAGAUGAAAUUUUUCUUAAUAUCUAACCUGGACCUCCCUUGACACAACUUAAAGCCAUUACCAAGCAGUGCAAGGCCAUGAAUUUUGAAGCAGUCCACAUCUUCACCAGACUGGUGCAAGCUUCUUCACAAUUGCACCAUUCCACUCCAACCCAUACCAUUCAGACUUUUUGGAAGCAAACAUCUCUGAUCAGCAUUUAGCUUAGAUGGCCUUUACUUCAUUUAGGUACUUACUAUUCUCCUUAAGCUUGCCAACUGCUGAAUAGCAUCGCUAUGAUAUAUAGCACAGACUAUGUUAUACAACACAAAAUCUCUUGAACGUAUAAUUGCCUAAAAGCACACAGACAUACAAUUCUCCCUUUUUCAUCAAAACCAACAUUAUCCUAUAGAAAAAUCGACUGAUUUCUAAAAAGAAAAUGUGAAGGCACUGUAUUCUCCCAUUAAGAAGAGAAAGAUAAGUUUAUUCCUACAAAAGAAGACAUAAUGCUUUAAAAAGACAUAAUGACACCACCAUUUUCCAGGAUCCCUUUUGCUGAUUCCCACACAGCUUCAACUAUGCUCACUGUCUGCAGCUAAUUUUACUGCCCAUUAAAUUAAUCAUAGAUUUGUUUCCAUUUCUCAAAAUUAUCCUUGAGGAAUUUGUUUAGAUAAAAAGAUGAGAACAAUUUGGGGCAUUUUCUGGAAAAUGAUGUUUACACCUCCUCAACUGAUUUUCUGCAGCAUUUUAAAUGAAUCAAAGUGUUGCUUUUACUGUACUGCAUUUAUUGAUUAAACACAAACAAAAAUCUCAAUUGACUAAUUUUCAAUGUGGAAUGAUUACUUUUAAAAUAUUUUUUAAUCCAGUCUUGAUUAUACUGCUCUCAGAAAAGAAAAACUUGGAUGAUGUUGAGAAUUUGCUAUGAAAAGUGUUCUUUUAGAUGGAGGGUGGCCUGUUUAUCUGUCUUUUUGCUACUCUCUUGAAAAUUGUAGAAGAAACAGGAGGUGAGAUAAAAACACGCUAGUGCCUUUAGCUGGGGAGAACCAUGCCAUUUUCCAUAUGAUUUCAUUAAUUGUAUUCUUUUUCAAAAUUCAUUUUACAUUAACUAAAGAGCUGGCUGGAUAUUUCCAGAGUGCUGCUGCUCCAUUACUUCUGCCCUAUGAAUAUAUGCAUCUUUGAAGAAUGAAUCCAGAGCGCAGCUGUUUGGAGAACUUGACGCAUGUAUAAGGCUUUCUCCCUUAAGAAUAAGUAUUUCCUCUCAAGUUCAUCCUCAUUCAUCAAAGAAGGCCAAAUCUUUUAGCUAGGAGUAGUGAUUAGACACAAAUGCAAGUGCUCACCUUUGUGGUACUCUCAACGUAUAAUUGGAUUUUCCUUGUUCUAGCAAACCAGACCGAGAUAAAGUGCUCUCCCUUCAACCUUAUCGGUCCUUUUCCUCAUUUUUUCCAGCAAGAAAUAAUUAAUCCUAAUGAACAAUUAUGAUAUAGUUAAAUUGGGACCUUACUAAACUAAAUAACAGAAAAUUCAGAAAUUUUUUUUGUGGAUCUGUGCAUGGUUUUACUGAGUUUGGAAAAUACUAACACUGCUAGCAGGGGAAAAUGCAAAUAAAAAACAGAUGAACAAGCUGUAACCUGGAGAUGAAGGCAUUUUAGAUCCUUGUCUGUCAUCAAGACCUUCAUAACCGCAUCUUUUUUCCAAUAUGGGCAUGUGGUAUACACCUGCAACUUGUCAGCAAGAAACCUACUUGCAGUUUUCUUUUGGUUCCUCAAAUAGCUUUUUUAAAAAAGCUGAUCCUAAAUGGUGCUAAUGACUAUCUGGCAUACCGUAUCUACUGUCUGUUUUACUUUUGGCUUUAACUGACAUUUAAAUGAUACACCUAAUUGCUAGAUCUCAACUCAAUCUUUAGGAAUGGUUAGAAGUUACAAAAGAAGUGUUAAAAAUUGCUGAGAUAAGUGACACAACACAGCCUUAAGUCUAACUCCCGAGCCCUGGCCUAAGUAGAGAUGACAUUUCUGAAAUUAAAAAAUAAUCCAAAACAUUUAUCUACCUAAGGGAAAUGACUGCAUCAUACCCACAAAUUGUCUUUUGUUACAUGCAGCUUGGACAACAACUAUCACGUCUAUUCAAAACUUUAAACAACCAGCUGCCAGCCAGCUCCAUGAAAAACCUUCUUGCAAAUUGCCUGAUGCCAUCAAUUGCCUUGAUCUUUCUUCCAAAACCACCAUCUAUUUGAUAUCCUAGUUAUCAGUCACAGGGAGCUUUAAAUAAAAAUGCCUACACAGCCUCGUCUCCUAGUCACUAGACACUCAUUAGAAAUAACUUAUGCCUUUUGAGAUGCAAUUUAUCUAUCUUCACGGUAUUCAGUAAAAUACGAAAACAAAACAAAAUAGAGCAUGUACCUAGUCUUGGCUAACAGCAGGGAAAAUGUGUUCAUAAUUGUCCUGUUGUCAGUAGUAGUUGAGCGUCUUUGUAUAAGUAAGUAUAUAUAUUUUAAAAUACAGCAAGAAGAAAAUAUAUCUGUAGAAAAGCAUAUACUAACAAUUGUCCAUGCACAACUCAAGGUUUUCAGAAACUCCUAUACCUCAGUGCCUAAAACACAGUCUUUAGAUUGAGAGAAUAGCAGAGAACGUUUCCUAUAUAUGAUGCAAAGACCCAAAUCAGUCCCAGAUGGAGAGGGAAAAAGCAAGCUGUAAACCAGCACUACUUCCCCAGCAAUGAUAACUAAUUCUACAAGGCACUUCAUCCUUUCACAUUCUUCAGCUAUUCAUAUCAUUUUCUGGUCGUAAAUCUCUAUCCACUAAACAUGGCUUUGAUAUUAUGGGAAACCAGAUGAAACUGAGAUAAAAUAUGCAGCACUCCCUGAAGCUGCAUUUAAGCAAUCUUAUUUAUUUUUUUUUAGCCCAGAUUACAGGCCAUCAUGUUGCUGAAGCAUGGUAUAACCUACAUUUGCCCGUGAUAUUCACAUUUUCAGAUUGUUUAGUCUGAUGAAGAGCAUUGAAGAAGAUGCUUUCUCCUCAGUCAUUCCAAUUAGUUUUGUAUUCUUGUAUAGAAGAUAAAUACUGAAAUGGUGCUGCUCUUUCUGAGCCAAGAUGUCCACCCUACAUCUAUCAACCAAAGCUAACCUUUGCCAGCUCAACACAAGCAUAGAUGAUAGCGAGGGAUCUCGCUGUGCACAAGCAGAAUGCCGCAGUUAAUUUAUCCCAUGGAGGAAAUCACGCUGUGCUCUCAGACAGCUCCAGACAUGGAUCCGGACUCAGACUGAUCUCACCAGAAACUCUCAACCCCCUGUGACUGCUAUGGCACAUAUUGUUCCUGAAAGUAAAAUUCUGGUUAGUUGCAAUGAAACAGAUUUACUCUGUUCAGUUGCCAUGACGAGCUAAACAAUUCAGUUUUUCUUACCAAGCCUCUUUCUUGUUAAAAAAAUAAACGUCUCUGACCCACUUCUCUGCCAGACCUAGAGAGAGAAAAGCACCAUCUUCUGCUGCUAGAUUAAGCACAGGCACUUUCUUAUAGCAAUAACUUAUUUUUAACUCUUCAGCUUAAAACAACACUGCUGUUUAUGAGGUCUGAUUCACAGAUUGACAUAGUGCUACAUCAUGUAUGUGUAUGCUGCAGCCUCCAAAGAUCAUUCCUUCCAACUGCGUGGCUAAUGGCCCCAGAAGCCUGCAUUAUUAAGACAAUAAAUAUUCAUGUUUGAAAGUAAUACUCAAUCUACUGCUAGACCACCAGGGGAAGAACAUUUCUUAAACAUGCAGUAGUCCAGCUCUCAUGAUUUGCUAGAGCCAAAGAAAACUCAGAUCUUAACAACCCUAAAAACAAACCUCAGUGAGAUCUCUCUGAACAGGCAAGGCUGCAGGAGUCACGUGGGUCCUGACUCAGGCUUUCCUCAAUCCCAUCAAAAUGUCAUGGAAAACAAUCUCCAGUUCUGCAAGCAUGGAAUGAGCUAUAUUUUCAAAUAACUUAAAGGCAAACACACUAUACCCAAAAUAUAUUCAUAUGUAUGUUUUUAUGAUACAGAACAACAUAAAACUACUACCAGGAUAUAGUAUAUCUAUGUAUCAUAGAUCCCAAGGCAGCACAGCUAUGGGUCUUCCUGUUCUAUCACACCUUUAAGACAAAUUAUCGACCUCAGAAUCAUAUUGGUGUCAUUUUACUGAAUCAUCCCAUUUCCAAGAAAACAUAUUGCAUUUCCUCUGCACUGUGCACACUGAAUACAUGUGCUCAAGUUUUCCCUCCCUCUCAUGUUUCAUGACCUUGGGAUUACCUAGCAGUGCUUCCAUCUCAACAUUUGGAGAGACCAGGAGCAUCCUAUGUUGCAAACACAAAUCUUGAUUGGUACCUUACAAAAGACAUGAUUAAAAGAAGGUUCAAAAGUUUGGGAAACAGUCGGUUUGACUCCAAAUUUUAUGGGCAUUGUCACUGCAUGAUUCAUACUGCCUAGCAAACGACCAGCAGUAGUGUUACUGCAGAGAGCAUCAAAACAAUGUUAGGUAAUCUUUCAAGUCAACAAUGUAGUGCUAAAUCAGCGUGACAGAAAAACUCUAGAUCUUGAUUUUAUGUCAUUUUUGAAUUCAUCACAAAAGACUGCUUGAAGAAUAAAGGUUUGUUAGCACACACUUUGUUCUAUGUCCAGCCUUUUCAGCAGACUGUUCUUGGCCUUUUAUCUCUGCCUUUUCCCCACCCCUUUUCUGAUGGUUUUGCUUUUUAGUUUUGUCUCUAAUUGGCUAUUUAUCAUCUGUUUCAGAGUAGGAUUCUUCAGGCUUUUUGAUCAGCAUGUUUACUGCUAUGGAUGAACAGUGGGUUGCCAAAAAGAGCUUUCCCUCUGAAUCUAUUAAUUCCUGAAGUAUGGGUUAUUUUAUCCAGAUAUAUUAUCCAGUUGGAAACAGCUAGCAGAUCCUACACCACAGAAAGCACCAGGUAUUAAGCCACACGUAGAUAUUCAGAUAUUGCAGUUGGGAGUAGAAUAACUUUGCUGGGAACUGGCAGCAAGUUGCUGUUUGAACACCUGGGUCUGAAUGUCCCCAGGUUAUGAUGAUGCACUUUCAAGGUGGAGCUUUUAUUGGGAACCAUCUCUGUGCAAGCAUACAUUCAGCAAGAAAGAUGAGAUGACAGCUUUACCUUCUAUAGUACUGCUACCGAGGAAACGAACUUCCUUUGCUUUUAAAUUUUCACAAAGUCUAGAAAAAGGGGGAAACCCUGUCAUAUUGAAGUCAGUGCAAAAAUUCUAUUUGUCUGCUCUGAAGUCUGGAGACAAAAUGCUUCCAAGUUAGGAACAUUUGUGCAAUGUCUGCAGUCCUCAUCCUGGAAAUUAUUCAUAGGUAUUCCUUGCAGAAUACACUUUACACUGCAGAAUGCACAGCAUUUAAGAUACCAGUUUUCAAAAUGCAGUUUCUCUAGUCCUCCUAUUCAUAAGGACAGCUCUAAAGAAAACAUAAGUUCAUGUCAGCUGGAGAGACAGCCAGAUGCUGAAUGUCUGAGAGGGAUGAACCGCAGUCUCCACUCAGCAGACUUCUGACUGCAAUCUGACAUUGAUACUGAAUGUCAGCAUUAUUAAUCCUCUCCCUGAUGGUCGUUUAUGUGGGAACACCUGGCUCAUAUGCUUCUCUUUCUAUCCCCAGUUCUUUCUCUACACAUCAAAAACCACCACUGUCAUCUGAGAUUCAAAACACCCCUGUCCUGUCUCUUCCUAUUCUACAUGAAACCCUCUGCACCGUGAUAGUUGUUACCACUCUUUGGGGGGGGAGGAGUAAAAUGAGAGGGACCAAGUCCUGAAUCUUCAACUCCAAAGCACUUACAAAGAUAGAAAAUCAGGCAUCAAAAUGAGCUAGCCCAGCUUUAAUAUCAGAACUGACUAUGCACUGGUUCCCACUCUCCUCAUUGCAACUGCAGGAAAACUCACACUAUGAGAGCCACAGCUCCUCACCCUGGCCUGCUGCAGCAACAGUUAUGCAUGUACAAGGGGCCAGCAGUGCCCAUGCACAGUGGGACCACCUGCAAUGGAGCAGCUGUCCUGGGGAAGGUCUUGGACACAGACCCACGCGGCUCAGGCAACCUCUGUCUGUAGUUAGACAUGCACUACUGCCUGUUUGACUGACUCCUCAGCUACAGUAAAAGCAAAAAUUGUAAUAUGGGGCUAUUAAGGCAAAUUAUCACACUCUACUCAAAGGAGGACAAAGACAGCAGAAAAGGAAAGGACCCUGACAGACAGUGACAUUAAAAAGUCAUCGUGCUCUUAUUGUAUGAUUAACUUAGACUUCAGCCUGUGGUAAAAAGCUUAGCAAUCAAGGUUUCAACACUAUUUACCAUUUUUUUCCUUUUCUUUUAAAAUGUUCCUAGCUAAUUUUGCACAAACAAGAAAACAUGAACAACACAGCAAGGCAAGAAUAACUUGUGAGUAAAACCAGAUGAACACUAACAUAUUUACAUAGUGUAAUGACUUCACUAUUAAUUCAAACAAACCCAGGCCCCAAUUCUCAGAAGACUGAGCUGAGCACAUGUGGUCCAGGAGACAAGAACAGGGUGGCUCAGACUGCACUGAUGUCGGCAGCCCCUGAGCAAGUAGGGGCUGCUCAAAGUUUCAGUCUACAAUAGCCACUGAGGGACCAUCUUUCAUUCCAGACAUCAUACUCUGCCUACACCCUCUUCUUGCUCAUGAAUUAACUAUAUAUAGAUCAGAUCUGGUCCCCAUCCUCAGAAUAAGCUGAUUCUGCAGCUAAGAAUUCUAUUUAUCCUUCUCCCUGCUACAUUUUACUGUAUCUUCUGAAAAUACAUCUUUUAAAGCACACUCUUCUGGUCUGAAAAUAAUAUUCUUUAUGUGGAGCUAUGGAAUCUCUUCCUUGUUCCUAGAUGUCUUGGAAGUUAAUCAACAUAAAGCCAUUAAAAAGCUUAAUCCCCUAUGCUUGGCACAACAUCAGUCUGAGAAUGGUUUCUUUGUAACAGCCUUUGGAAUAAAUAUCCAUUCAAGAUUUGUUUUUUCCUUAUACUGGUCACCCGCACUUUACAGUGGGUGGCCCUUUCAUUUAUCCCCAUUACUGUACUUCCACUUCUGAAGCUAAGCCAGACACAGCAACCUGAUACUACUUUUUUGUUCAUGCAACUCCAUUGUAAUGAAAAGUUCCACAUAUAACUGAUAUUUGUUGGGAAAGCCAAAGAAACAGGAACCAUGGUAAAAUUGCACCACCUUCUUGACAACUUUAAUUCUGAAAGAGUUGGGUUCUCCAGGAGAACACUUUGUUGGCAAGCAUGUUUUCACAUUUAGAUGCCUCGGAAUACAAACACAGUCAGUCCAUUCCUGAACACCUCUGGUUGGUAGUAUUUGCAUGACAGCC
RNAcentral lists this long non-coding RNA (13784 nucleotides) under Gallus gallus (chicken). The record is from RNAcentral. Lineage: Eukaryota; Metazoa; Chordata; Aves; Galliformes; Phasianidae.